AGGGCGCACGGUGGAUGCCUUGGCACUAGGAGCCGAUGAAGGACGGAACUAAUACCGAUAUGCUUCGGGGAGCUAUAAGUAAGCUUUGAUCCGGAGAUUUCCGAAUGGGGGAACCCAGUACACAGCAGUGUAUUGCCUGCAAGUGAAUUCAUAGCUUGUCGGCGGCAGACGCGGGGAACUGAAACAUCUCAGUACCCGCAGGAAGAGAAAGAAAACUCGAUUCCCAUAGUAGCGGCGAGCGAAGUGGGAAGAGCCCAAACCGAGAAGCUUGCUUCUCGGGGUUGUAGGACUGGACAUUGGAGUUACCAAAGUUCGACGUAGUCGAAGUCAGCUGGAAAGCUGCGCCAUAGAAGGUGAAAGCCCUGUAAACGAAACGGCGGACCCUCCGUCCAGGAUCCUGAGUACGGCGGAACACGUGAAAUUCCGUCGGAAUCCGGGAGGACCAUCUCCCAAGGCUAAAUACUCCCUAGUGACCGAUAGUGAACCAGUACCGUGAGGGAAAGGUGAAAAGCACCCCGGAAGGGGAGUGAAACAGUUCCUGAAACCGUGUGCCUACAAUUAGUCAAAGCCCGUUAAGGGGUAAUGGCGUGCCUUUUGUAGAAUGAACCGGCGAGUUACGUUUGCCUGCGAGGUUAAGAUGAAAAGUCGGAGCCGGAGCGAAAGCGAGUCUGAACAGGGCGAAUGAGUAGGCAGAUGUAGACCCGAAACCAAGUGACCUACCCAUGACCAGGUUGAAGGUGUGGUGAAACACACUGGAGGACCGAACCCAUGUAUGUUGAAAAAUGCUGGGAUGAGUUGUGGGUAGCGGUGAAAUUCCAAACGAACUUGGAGAUAGCUGGUUCUCUCCGAAAUAGCUUUAGGGUUAGCCUCGGAGGAUGGAUCAUGGAGGUAGAGCACUGUUUGAACUAGGGGCCCAUCAAGGGUUACUGAAUUCAGAUAAACUCCGAAUACCAUCGAUCUUACUCCGGGAGUCAGACAGUGAGCGAUAAGGUCCAUUGUCGAAAGGGGAACAGCCCAGAUCACCAGUUAAGGUCCCUAAAUUUAUGCUAAGUGGAAAAGGAUGUGGCGUUGCACAGACAACUAGGAUGUUGGCUCAGAAGCAGCCACCAUUUAAAGAGUGCGUAAUAGCUCACUAGUCGAGUGGCACUGCGCCGAAAAUAUACCGGGGCUAAGCAUAAUACCGAAACUGUGGGUGCACCCGUAAGGGUGCGCGGUAGGAGAGCGUUCUAAGGGCGUUGAAGGUCGAUCGUGAGGACGGCUGGAGCGCUUAGAAGUGAGAAUGCCGGCAUGAGUAGCGAAAGAUCAGUGAGAAUCUGAUCCACCGUAUGACUAAGGUUUCCUGGGGAAGGCUCGUCCUCCCAGGGUUAGUCGGGAUCUAAGGCGAGGCCGCAAGGCGUAGUCGAUGACAAGCAGGUUGAGAUUCCUGCACUAGUUUAUUUUGUUUAAGCGAUGGAGGGACGCAGGAGGCUAAGGAAAGCGCACGGCUGGAAAAGUGCGUCCAAGCCGCAAGUCUGGUGGCGAGUGAAAUGCUUGCGACCAUAAGGACAAGCGGUGAUGGGGAGCGAAAUUAAAGUAGCGAAGUUCCUGAUGUCACACUGCCAAGAAAAGCUUCUAGUGAGAAAUAAACUACCCGUACCGCAAACCGACACAGGUAGUCGAGGAGAGUAUCCUCAGGUGAGCGAGCGAACUCUCGUUAAGGAACUCGGCAAAAUGACCCCGUAACUUCGGAAGAAGGGGUGCUGACCGCAAGGUCAGCCGCAGUGAAUAGGCCCAAACAACUGUUUAUCAAAAACACAGGUCUCUGCUAAAUCGAAAGAUGAUGUAUAGGGGCUGACGCCUGCCCGGUGCUGGAAGGUUAAGAGGAUGAGUUAGCGCAAGCGAAGCCCAGAAUUGAAGCCCCAGUAAACGGCGGCCGUAACUAUAACGGUCCUAAGGUAGCGAAAUUCCUUGUCGGGUAAGUUCCGACCCGCACGAAAGGCGUAAUGAUUUGGGCACUGUCUCAACGAGAGACUCGGUGAAAUUAUAGUACCCGUGAAGAUGCGGGUUACCCGCGACAGGACGGAAAGACCCCAUGGAGCUUUACUGUAGCUUGAUAUUGAGUGUUGGUACCGCUUGUACAGGAUAGGUAGGAGCCGUAGAGAUCGGAACGCUAGUUUCGAUGGAGGCGUUGGUGGGAUACUACCCU
RNAcentral lists this ribosomal RNA (2185 nucleotides) under Lacticaseibacillus zeae DSM 20178 = KCTC 3804. Its description in RNAcentral is "bacterial LSU rRNA". It matches the Rfam family "Bacterial large subunit ribosomal RNA", at positions 14 to 2206 of the family's 2925-position model. The record is from RNAcentral. Lineage: Bacteria; Bacillati; Bacillota; Bacilli; Lactobacillales; Lactobacillaceae.